Molecule: ribosomal RNA, 253 nt
Filed under: uncultured bacterium
Lineage: Bacteria
Description: partial 16S ribosomal RNA
Rfam family: Bacterial small subunit ribosomal RNA
Source: RNAcentral
UACGGAGGGCGCGAGCGGUGUUCGGAAUCAUUGGGCGUAAAGCGCGUGUAGGCGGCUUGGUAAGUCGAGUGUGAAAGCCCGGGGCUCAACCCCGGAAGGUCGCUCGAAACUGCCUGGCUAGAGUCCCGGAGAGGAAGGCGGAAUUCCCGGUGUAGAGGUGAAAUUCGUAGAUAUCGGGAGGAACACCAGCGGCGAAGGCGGCCUUCUGGACGGUGACUGACGCUGAGACGCGAAAGCGUGGGGAGCAAACAGG